This 253-nucleotide ribosomal RNA is filed under the name uncultured bacterium. RNAcentral describes it as "partial 16S ribosomal RNA". It matches the Rfam family "Bacterial small subunit ribosomal RNA", at positions 524 to 776 of the family's 1533-position model. The record is from RNAcentral.
UACUAAGGGGGCUAGCGUUGCUCGGAAUCACUGGGCGUAAAGCGCACGUAGGCGGAUCUUUAAGUCAGGGGUGAAAUCCUGGAGCUCAACUCCAGAACUGCCUUUGAUACUGGGGACCUCGAGUCCGGGAGAGGUGAGUGGAACUCCGAGUGUAGAGGUGAAAUUCGUAGAUAUUCGGAAGAACACCAGUGGCGAAGGCGGCUCACUGGCCCGGUACUGACGCUGAGGUGCGAAAGCGUGGGGAGCAAACAGG